UGCGAGGUAGUAUAGCUUGGUCUAGUACGUCGGCCUCAUAAGCCGGUAACCUCAGUUCGAAUCUGAGCCUUGCAA
This 75-nucleotide transfer RNA is filed under the name bacterium. RNAcentral's name for it is "tRNA-Met". It matches the Rfam family "tRNA". From Rfam's summary of the family: Transfer RNA (tRNA) molecules are approximately 80 nucleotides in length. Their secondary structure includes four short double-helical elements and three loops (D, anti-codon, and T loops). The record is from RNAcentral.